Molecule: ribosomal RNA, 254 nt
Filed under: uncultured bacterium
Lineage: Bacteria
Description: partial 16S ribosomal RNA
Rfam family: Bacterial small subunit ribosomal RNA
Source: RNAcentral
UACGUAGGGGGCAAGCGUUAUCCGGAUUUACUGGGUGUAAAGGGAGCGUAGGUGGCAUGGUAAGCCAGAAGUGAAAACCCGGGGCUCAGCCCCGCGGAUUGCUUUUGGAACUAUCAGGCUGGAGUGCUGGAGGGGUAAGCGGAGUUCCUAGUGUAGCGGUGAAAUGCGUAGAUAUUAGGAGGAACACCGGUGGCGAAGGCGGCUUACUGGACAGAAACUGACACUGAGGCUCGAAAGCGUGGGGAGCAAACAGG